Molecule: ribosomal RNA, 358 nt
Filed under: uncultured fungus
Lineage: Eukaryota; Fungi
Description: eukaryotic LSU rRNA
Rfam family: Eukaryotic large subunit ribosomal RNA
Source: RNAcentral
AUAUCAAUAAGCGGAGGAAGAGAAACCAACAGGGAUUGCCCCAGUAACGGCGAGUGAAGCGGCAACAGCUCAAAUUUGAAAUCUGGCCCUCGGGCCCGAGUUGUAAUUUGUAGAGGGCGCUUUGGCGUCGGCCGCGGCCUAAGUCCCCUGGAACGGGGCGUCAGAGAGGGUGAGAAUCCCGUCUGUGGCCGCUGGCCUUCGCCGCGUAAAGCCCCUUCGACGAGUCGAGUUGUUUGGGAAUGCAGCUCUAAAUGGGAGGUAAAUUUCUUCUAAAGCUAAAUACCGGCCAGAGACCGAUAGCGCACAAGUAGAGUGAUCGAAAGAUGAAAAGCACUUUGGAAAGAGAGUCAAACAGCAC